GACAGAGGUGCCGAGCGUUAGGCGGAAUCACUGGGCUUAAAGCGUGUGUAGGCGGGCCGUUAAGUAUCUUGUGAAAUCCCCCGGCUCAACCGGGGAAUGGCUGGAUAUACUGGCGGUCUUGAGCGAUCUAGGGGCAGAUGGAACAAGUGGUGGAGCGGUGAAAUGCGUAGAUAUAACUUGGAACGCCAAAGGUGAAAACAGUCUGCUGGGGAUCUGCUGACGCUGAGACACGAAAGCCAGGGGAGCGAACGGG
This 253-nucleotide ribosomal RNA is filed under the name uncultured bacterium. RNAcentral's name for it is "partial 16S ribosomal RNA". It matches the Rfam family "Bacterial small subunit ribosomal RNA", at positions 524 to 776 of the family's 1533-position model. The record is from RNAcentral.